CGCGCAGCCCCGCCGGCCCAGGCCCCGCCUCCCGCCGGGCGCGCUCCUCACCCCGCAGCCCCCAGCCCGCUUCCGCCUCGACGCCAGGAGGCUCCGGACUCGCCUGCCCGCGGCCUCCGGGCAGGUUUGUACCAGAGGACGAUAAAAUCCGUUGAGGUCAGCGACAGGGCAGGGCCCACCCCAAACCCUCUGUUCUGCCAGCAUUUGUAGAGUUUCCUGCGCUGAAGCAGAACUCCUGCCAGAAAAAGGGUUACUUUCCUCUUUGUGUCUGUCAUCUUCCCGCUCCCCUGGGAGCUCUGAACAUCUUCAGAACAGCCUCUGGGACUUCCUGGGAUGUCCCCUCCCUGGGACCCUAGGGUCGCAGGGCGCUGCGGGCUUUACUGGCGGAGUGUCCGCUCUGUUAGGAAUCAGGUGGAAAGACGACACGUAAUCUAAUCUCUUAUCCUAAUGAGUCACUGAGCUUGUUUUCCCUUUUUCCCUUUCAAAACUGUCAAGGGCGAGCAGAAUCCGCAAAGCUGGUCUCUCUCUGGACAGGAAUCCACCUUCUCCCCCAGAUUGCCGGCUUUUCUGACUAAAGCAUCUUUCUCUUCAGCAGACACACGCCCCUCCACUAUUGGCUCUAGGAGGGAAAAGCCCAGAAGAAACUCUCACCUACUCACACUCGACCACGCUGCUCAGGGCGCCGGCGGUGUGGGUGCUCUGGAAUUUCUCGCCCCUGAAUCUCCACUGGACACGAAAGCCGCUGUUAGGGUAAGACCGGAACCUCGACUCCAGGAAAUCUCGUCCUUCCGCCCCAGAAGAGGAGCCUGGGCCUCAGAUUCCAGCGUCUGAGGAGACCCCCCC
Molecule: long non-coding RNA, 843 nt
Filed under: Sus scrofa (pig)
Lineage: Eukaryota; Metazoa; Chordata; Mammalia; Artiodactyla; Suidae
Description: lncRNA (ENSSSCG00040003852.1)
Source: RNAcentral